Micropterus salmoides (largemouth bass) is the source of this 1187-nucleotide long non-coding RNA. RefSeq lists it as uncharacterized. The transcript has 2 exons. NCBI's taxonomy places the organism in Eukaryota, Metazoa, Chordata, Actinopteri, Centrarchiformes, Centrarchidae. The record is from RefSeq and is a predicted model, not a curated record.
UUUGGGAGUGAGACAGACUGACGGCACAGAAGGAUAGAUAGAGGGACUGGAAUAUGGAUAGGGAGCACAAGAGCACAAGAUGAGGCUGAGGGCAGACGGCAGGAAGAUCAGCGCAGAAAUGCUCCAAAUAUAGAUGAAUGAGAGCUGGAGAGAGCAGACGCUUGACUGCCAGGGAGGAAAUGGCUGUGAGUUGCAGGAGUUUUGCUGUGACAAGUGGAAGAGAUCAACAUUAGCAAGAAUGGAAGUUGGUAAAUCACUGGCUUUACUUCUGCUUCCUUAUUGCUUGACGUUAAGAUCUUAUUGAUUACUUUUAAGGUUCUUCAUAACCUGGCUGUGGAUUAUAUUUUGGAUCUUUUAGUUCUUUGUAAGCCUUUUCAUAGUUUGAGAUCUGUGUCAGGGCCUGAGGCUCUGGAACGACCUGCCUGAGGAAAUGAGGCAGGUCAGAAUCUUCAAUUAGAAAGCAUAUUCAGAUUUUAUCUGAGCUGCCUGCUUAUUUUAAUGUUUAUCUUUUCUUGUUCUUAUUUCUUAUAUUUAUUCUGGUUAUUUUAAUGUAUUUUUUUUAUUAAUUUUCUUGUUUCUAUUUCUUAUUUGUAUUUUGCCCUUCAUGUAUUUCAUCAUUCACUGUGGUUUGUCAAGUUUUAGCAUUGAUCUGGCAGCAUAAGCAAACGAUCCUAACUGAGCUGCACCAACUUCAAACCAGUGAGAAGAACACAAAUAUAAAAAUAUUCAGAUAAGAAAGUAGGUUUUUCGCAGCCAAAGGACGAGGAACAUGUCGUGAAUAGACCCACAGAAAGAACAAAUUCCUCCUGCUAAUAGGAUCAGUUUGAUGUUAAGCAUUCUCUUGGCUCUUGAUUGAGUGUUAUCCCAGUUGUUUUUAAGUAUUUAUUACAAAUAGCUGUAUUGCAAUAUUGUCCUAACCACCAAAGAGCGUGACUGGCUCCCUUCAGGCCGCUGCUACGGGACACUCAAAACAGACACAGUUGGCAUCUUCCACUCUGUUACAUUCAUGUACCCACUGACAGACUGUAAUGUUAGACAUAGACAUAGACCAAGUGCACUUUGUUUCACAUUUUACUGUACCUUUCUUUGGCUUUUUGUAUUUAGCGUGGGUAAAUGUAACUGUUUGUUGAUGCUGAUUAUUCAUUCAUGUCAUUCAUGGUAAUAAUAAAGUCUCUUAUGUCUCUGAA